Non-coding RNA from Chlorocebus sabaeus (green monkey), 1801 nucleotides. NCBI's taxonomy places the organism in Eukaryota, Metazoa, Chordata, Mammalia, Primates, Cercopithecidae. The record is from RefSeq and is a predicted model, not a curated record.
AUGGGGAAGUGGGACAAAUGGGUGGCCUAGAUGCAUCCAACAGCAAUGGCAAGAUCAAGGGGUUCAAUCCAGUCUUCAGGGCCAACAAUACAGGAUUAUCUUAAUUGACCAAGGCCUACCUGGAAAGAAGUAAAAGAGCAACCAGAAAAGGAAAAGAAAGGCUCCAGGGCUUUGGCUGAAUAAAAUGAAUGAGAACUGGAAGAAAGAACUAGAAAAACACAGGGGGAAAUUGUUAAGUGGAAGUGAGAGCUCAUCUAAAAAGCGACAGAGAAAGAAAAAAGAAAAAAUCUGGUAGGUAUUCAUCUUCUUCUUCAUCAAGCUCUGAUUCUUCCAGCAGUUCUUCAGAUUCUGAAGAUAAGGAUAAGAGACAAGGAAAACGGAGAAAGAGAAAGAAGAACCGUUCACAUAAAUCUUCUGAAAGGUCCAAAUCAGAAACUGAAUCAGACAGUAAGGAUAGUUUUAAAAAGAAAAAGAAGUCAAAAGAUGCCACUGAGAAAGAAAAGGACAUUAAAGGACUCAGAAAAAAGAGAAAGAUAUACUCAGAAGACAAACCUUUAUCAUCAGAGUCCUUGUCAGAAUCAGAGUAUAUUGAGGAGGUAUGAGCAAAAAAGAUGAAAAGCAGUGAAGAACAAGAAAAAGCAACAGAAAAAAAAAAAAAAGAAAGAAAGAAAAAGAAGCAUAAGAAACACAGUAAGAAGAAGAAAAAGAAGACUGCUAGUUAAAGUCCUGACUCACCAUAACAUUCAGAAAAAUCAGGAUUCCCUUAUAAAGAAAGCACAAUGUCUGAGGAAAUUGCAACUGUGAAAACUACAACAUAUUUACUAAAAUGCAUGAAUUUUCUUGUUUUUAGAAUUAUUCCUGGACUAUUCAGUAGCCACUCAGAUGCCACUGUGUGAAAGGGCCAUAAAUGUUGCCUGCUGCUUGAACAUCUAUUUUUUUCUCUUAUAGCGCUUGAUAACUCUGGGAGAUAAUACACUGCAGUCGUACUAGUGGUUAAGAUAUUUGGGAAUAAAAUCAAUACUUUUGACUAGAAGUGUCUAAGGAUAAACCAACCGAAAUUGAAUCUGGAUACAUCUUUAAGAUGUGAUCAGAAAUGACCAGAUGACUCUAGUUAAAAUUUUUGAAGGAGGGAUUACAUUAAUAUUUCAAAACCCUUAUUCUGUAAAUAAGUGUAUUUUAAUUUUUUCCCCUUAUAUACUUUUAUUUACCUGGGGAAGGAGGUUGGAGGGGGUGGUUUGCUCUCUCUUUAGCUAGCAGAAUAGUGUGCCUUUGAUCCUCACACAUCCGUAUUGUGGACACAGCAGCCAUGCUUCACGGGGAGGUCAGAGCUGGCUACCAGCAGUCUUGCCCUUUACUGAGCUUAGUGUCAUCCUUGGAUGCUGUCAUAUGCUGCUUUGAGUGAACUAGAGAAACAGCCAUUUGCAGCAUGAGAAAGUCCCAAAAGCUCUGGGAUUUACCUCCACUUCAAUAAUCAUGAAUAUUUUUUAGCAUUAGAAUGUGUUAUGCCAUUUGAAAUAAUUUUGAUUACACUUUGGCUUGGGAAAGGAAUUAUUUUAAAUAGACACUGGUACUUUUUGAACUUGAUAGCUAAGGAUUCUAAAAUGCAUAUUUUAUACUAAGUUUUAACCAGUCAGGAAAAUUUUAUGUAACCAGUGAUAGUUUAUUUUUUGUAUGAAUUUUGUUUAGGCUGCAAUGUUUAGCUUUUGUUAACUCCUCACUCUUGCUGUCUUAAGUUCAUUACUAUGUUUAACAACCUACUUGCCAAGAUAUUUAGCAUGUAAAAUGCAGGGUUUUGAUUAAA